UUUAAUAAUUUUAUCAGAGCUUGGAAGCUAAAUGAGUUUGGGCCUGCUUAGUCGUACUUGCAUGGGACACCACCUAGGAAUAUCAGAUAUGAUUGGCU
This 98-nucleotide ribosomal RNA is filed under the name Salvator merianae (Argentine black and white tegu). The record is from RNAcentral. Lineage: Eukaryota; Metazoa; Chordata; Lepidosauria; Squamata; Teiidae.